GCAACCGGUAAUUUUGACCGGUUCGUAGUUCUAGUGUUAAGUUCAUACAUAUAUUAUUAACAUUAACCUAUGCGAAAAAUCUAACCUCAAAUUUUAAAUACAUGAACGUUUUUUGGAAAGAUGGUAAAAAGCUAGUAGAGCAGAACACAAAUUCUUCAAUAUGUACAAAGAUAACUAGAUUCAUUAUCCGCCCACCCCUUACGUUUUAAUUUGGCAACAUCGCUGUUAACUAAAAUAACAGCUUUCCAAAUAAACAUACAUACAUAUCUACAAAAAAUGUUGGCGCAAAAUUUACAAUAUUAAAGUUACCGCGAGAUAUUUUUAUAUGUAUGUGAAAAUUUACGUGCACACAUAUAAAUGUUAACAAAACCAGAAUUUUAAAUACACACGUACAUAUAUACAUACAGCUAUACAUAUACGAACAUACAUUUAGGCUAAGAGCAAGAAAGGAUGAGGUAUCUAGUGGAUGAAAUGUACCGAAACAGGAAACAAAAAUAAAAGCAAUAAGAAAUGGAUUUUCAACAAAAAUAAACAAAUACGAUAACUCAGAGAGCGCAAAACCAAAAGACAGCACUGAGCACAAGAAAGAGAGAAUUUAUAAAUAAACAAAACGUUUGAUUGCCACUACGUUAAUAAGAAACCUUACACAUUUUUAUUCGAGCACAUUGUAUUCAACCCUAAUGCACGACGCCAAACUUGGUAACCUUGUCAAGGAUUUAAACAAAAUUUUGCGAUGAGCGCGCUACAUAUAGAAAAAUAGAGGGAUGAACAUAAAAACAAAAACGCCAAUAAGUGAAUUGUGCGUGACAAGCUAUUUACAAACUUCGCAGUAUAAAAUCAAAGAACACAUUACAUAAAAUAAUGACAAAAGGACGGCGAGAUGUGCAGGAAAGCGAUGUAUACAUAGUGCAACAUUAACUUUUGCUGUGUCAUGCAGAGGGGAAGGAAACUUUGUUAAAUACCAAUGUGAAGACGAUGGAGAAGAAAUAUGUUGCAAAAAAAAAACAGCGACGAAUGGAUAAGUGAAUAAAUUAAUGUAUAUGGAAGCCUGUACGUACACAACUUGAAUAACGCUUGCUGGGGAGCCAGUGCUUCUUAACUUUACCAAAUCAUGUCACAUUGCUAGCAAAAUGCAGCAGCGAAAGAAUCAGACGUUUCUAAAAUUAGCAAUAAUAUAGGAGGGUGGGUUUUGAUUUUUUUUACAAUAGGCACCAACUUUUCUGAGUGUAUAAGUGGAAUUAACAUAGAAUUGACACAUCUUUCAUUGAUAUAGCUAAUCAAACAUAACUUCCUCCAUACGAUUAUUUGUCACAAUCUGCAUGAUCCAUAUUAAAAAUCACCAAGUGUGACUCGUCAAUCGCAGCAUUAUAUUGUAAACUUGCUUUUUUCCUUUUUUUGUUUUUGAUUUUUAUACAAAAAAAAUUAUCACUCAAUUUAUGCCAAAACAUUGCACUUUAGCGCAGGCACGCUUCGCAUAUGAAAAGUAUAUAAUAAAACUAGUAACAGUAAUAACCACCAAUAAGGUAGGGGACAGGAAAAAAUUAAAAACAAGCUGUGCAUAAUAAAAAUAUAACAACAGCACAAGACAACGCCAUUAAAGAGGAGUUUAUAUGGAAAAAACAUAAAAACUAAAUACAACGAAUACAGCGAAAACUAGCAAAGGAACAAAUUCACCGUACAUGCUGCACAUGGAGAUCAAAAACAAUCAAACGAAAGAGUCGUAGCCAAGUACAAGGCACGGCAGGAGGCGUCUAUAUAUGCAUGCAGACAUAUAUAUUUACAUAUAUGUAUAGGUAUAUAAUUGCAAGUAAAUCUGUGUGCAGCAAGUUAAACUAGCGAAGCACAAAAUUUAAGCAAUAAUCGCAAGGUAGAAUAAUUCUGUUAAAACUUUUAAAAUGAAAUACAACAAAGAGUUGAUGUUUAUGUUUGCAGAAAUUAUAACUUCAUAUAAAUUAUAAGAAAAUAUAACUAUAGUUAUACACAAUUAUAUAGCUUCUCAAAAAUAGAUACAUAUACCAUAGAAAUGCGUAUGAACUAUUUUUGGUGUAACUAUGCAAAAGCUAGAGGCUAUCACAUUAUGUUAAAAACUAUUUUCACUUAUUUCAUAUUUUUAAAACUCACCUUAAUUCAUCGAUAAAAGAACGC
Bactrocera oleae (olive fruit fly) is the source of this 2145-nucleotide long non-coding RNA. RefSeq lists it as uncharacterized. The record is from RefSeq and is a predicted model, not a curated record. NCBI's taxonomy places the organism in Eukaryota, Metazoa, Arthropoda, Insecta, Diptera, Tephritidae.